UUCCUGGUGGUCCAGUGGCUAAGACUCUGCACUGCCAAUGCUAGGGGACCCAGGUUCAAGUCCCAGUCAGGGAA
This 74-nucleotide transfer RNA is filed under the name Ovis aries (sheep). It matches the Rfam family "tRNA". From Rfam's summary of the family: Transfer RNA (tRNA) molecules are approximately 80 nucleotides in length. Their secondary structure includes four short double-helical elements and three loops (D, anti-codon, and T loops). Lineage: Eukaryota; Metazoa; Chordata; Mammalia; Artiodactyla; Bovidae. The record is from Rfam by way of RNAcentral.